ACGGUGAGUAACACGUAUCCAACCUGCCGUCUACUCUUGGACAGCCUUCUGAAAGGAAGAUUAAUACAAGAUGGCAUCAUGAGUCCGCAUGUUCACAUGAUUAAAGGUAUUCCGGUAGACGAUGGGGAUGCGUUCCAUUAGAUAGUAGGUGGGGUAACGGCCCACCUAGUCUUCGAUGGAUAGGGGUUCUGAGAGGAAGGUCCCCCACAUUGGAACUGAGACACGGUCCAA
RNAcentral lists this ribosomal RNA (231 nucleotides) under uncultured bacterium. RNAcentral's name for it is "partial 16S ribosomal RNA". It matches the Rfam family "Bacterial small subunit ribosomal RNA", at positions 105 to 334 of the family's 1533-position model. The record is from RNAcentral.